Molecule: ribosomal RNA, 99 nt
Filed under: Romboutsia timonensis
Lineage: Bacteria; Bacillati; Bacillota; Clostridia; Peptostreptococcales; Peptostreptococcaceae
Also listed under: 1 other name
Source: RNAcentral
UUAUUAUAGCAAAGAGGAUACACCUGUUCCCAUACCGAACACAGAAGUUAAGCUCUUUAGCGGCAAUGGUACUUGGUGGGCAACCGCCUGGGAGAGUAG